CAGUCGCCGCGGGAAUACAGAGGAUGCAAGCGUUAUCCGGAAUUAUUGGGCGUAAAGGGCUCGCAGGCGGUUUCUUAAGUCUGAUGUGAAAGCCCCCGGCUCAACCGGGGAGGGUCAUUGGAAACUGGGAAACUUGAGUGCAGAAGAGGAGAGUGGAAUUCCACGUGUAGCGGUGAAAUGCGCAGAGAUGUGGAGGAACACCAGUGGCGAAGGCGACUCUCUGGUCUGUAACUGACGCUGAGGAGCGAAAGCGUGGGGAGCGAACAGGAUUAGAUACCCCCGUAGUCCCUGUCUCUUAUAC
RNAcentral lists this ribosomal RNA (301 nucleotides) under uncultured bacterium. RNAcentral describes it as "partial 16S ribosomal RNA". It matches the Rfam family "Bacterial small subunit ribosomal RNA", at positions 509 to 807 of the family's 1533-position model. The record is from RNAcentral.